UUCCAGGAAGAGUGUGCUUGUCAUCU
This 26-nucleotide non-coding RNA is filed under the name Homo sapiens (human). Lineage: Eukaryota; Metazoa; Chordata; Mammalia; Primates; Hominidae. The record is from RNAcentral.